AGGUUCCAUUUCUUCUCCACCUCUCUCUGCCGUCCGAUCUCCGCGUGUUAGCUCACUCUCAAAACACCAAGCUUUUAAUCCCAUCAUCAUAAAGCCCGCCAAAUACAAAAAUUAAACCUCUUUUUCUUCUUUACUUAGAAAUCAAACGAACCAAAAUUCAAAAGAAAAAAAAAAGAUUCUGAUCCGCCUGUAAGGUCAACUAUCAAGUCAACUAAGGGUUUUUGAGUAUGGCGGAAGCUCCGGCGAGUCCAGGAGGUGGUGGAAGUCAUGAUAGUGGUGGUGAUCGGAGCCCUCAAUCGAACGUGAGGGAACAGGACAGGUACCUUCCGAUCGCGAAUAUCGGUCGCAUAAUGAAAAAGGGAUUGCCUGCUAAUGCAAAGGUAGCUAAGGAAGCUAAAGAUACUGUUCAGGAAUGUGUAUCUGAGUUCAUCAGUUUCAUUACCAGCGAGGCAAGUGACAAGUGUCAGAAAGAGAAGAGAAAGACCAUUAAUGGAGAUGAUUUGUUAUGGGCACUGACCACGUUAGGAUUUGAGGACUACAUUGAGCCACUAAAGGCCUAUUUGGUUAGGUACAGAGAGGUAAUUGCAGUUCCUCCUCAUUUACCGAUGACAAAUAAGCUUUGCUUAUAUGAAGAGUUCUUGCACGCCUGUUCAUCAUUGACAACUAAAGAGAGACGGAAUAGUUUUUUCCGCUCAUCUGGAAUAUUUGUUGGAUGGAGGUAUGCAUUGCUUCCCCCCAUCAAUGAUAUAGAGUUGCUUAUUGUCUUUACCUCUGAUAUGUCACUAGCUAUGCCCCGGGGGAUUGUUUCUAAUGUCAGGGAGACACCAAGGGAUCUGCUAGGGGUGGAGAUACGUCUGCUAGAAAAGAUAUAGUGGGAGGUCAACUUGGUUCCAGUACGCAGUUUGUCUAUGAUGGGUCUUUUACACAAGGCUUAGACUAUGGGAACUCCCAAAUGUGAAAUUCUGAAAUAACAAUGGUUCAGAUGCAAGUAUCUUCUGUCUUCUGAUUUUGGCGAUCUAUGUACCAAACCGUUCAAUGGUUACGCUGAUAUGUGGCUCUACGAACCGAAAGUAUCCUGCCAAUCUUGAAUUAAGCCAUACAAACACUUUGUUUUCUGAACUUUUCUUUAAGUACUUUAUGUAAAUGCUAUUUGGCUUUUAUUGUUAUGACCUGAUAGCAAUCUUCUUAUUCUGCUAAUUCACUAGUUCUAGGAUUGAGUGACCUUAGCUUUUUGUAUGAUGUUAAUUUUUUAAGAUAUUGCUUUUGGAAGUUAGCAUAAUCAUUCUAGGUGGUAUUUUUCUGGUCAGAAA
RNA transcript from Lycium ferocissimum, 1310 nucleotides. It is a transcript of the gene named nuclear transcription factor Y subunit B-10-like, with no coding region annotated. Lineage: Eukaryota; Viridiplantae; Streptophyta; Magnoliopsida; Solanales; Solanaceae. The record is from RefSeq and is a predicted model, not a curated record. The transcript has 6 exons.